CUUUUAUGUAUGGUUGCGAGAAGAGGCUCUUUACAUUCUUAUAAAACAAGAAGGAAAUUUGAAGGACUCAGAUAGUAGAAUCAUAAAAAACUCAAAAUACAAAAUAAGAAUAAAAUAUAUAAACUUAAAAUAUGAAUUGAAAAUCCUAUUUGAGAGAUUCCCGACACCAUAAGAUAAAGAUCAAAUGGAAAAAAGCUAAUACAUAAUGCCAGACUUCAAUAAACCUAUUUUAAUCUAAAAAGCACCAUAAAUCAAUAUCUAAAUUUAGUUCCCUUGGUUGUAGGGUUUUUAAUGUAUUAAUCCAGUACCAAUUUCUUAAUGAGGUUGCCACCCCUCCAAUAAUUUUCAAUUUUUUCUAUAUCUAAAAAAUAAAAAUCUUGCCAAUUAAAUUUAUUGCACAUAUUGCAAUGAAUAGGGACUAUAUGUUUAUUAAAUUUUUUUUGAAUAUUAUUUUGAUGUUCCAAAAUGCGUUCUUUUAAUUUUCUGCAAGUCCGCCCUACAUAUUGUUUUCCGCAGGGGCAUUGCAGGAUAUAUAUUAUAUUUCGAGUCUCGCAAUUUUUAUUAGAUUUUAUAUUAAACUCUUUUCCUGUUGUGGUACUUUUAAAUUUUUUUACAUUUAAUAAUCUCUGGGUUCUACAAGCUUUACAUUUAUUACAUGAAUGAAAACCUUUUCUACUUUCUAUUUUCAUAUUUCUAUGUGGAUUUUUUAGGGCAUAACUAGGUGCUAAAAUGUUUUUAAAAUUUUUCGCCUUUCUGAAAAUUACUGGUGCCUUUUUUGGGAGUACUCUCCCCAAAAUAGGAUCCUUCAAAAGAAU
This is a non-coding RNA of Pelobates cultripes (western spadefoot toad), 815 nucleotides long. The record is from the annotation of a GenBank genome assembly. Lineage: Eukaryota; Metazoa; Chordata; Amphibia; Anura; Pelobatidae.